AUGCCGUGGGGCCCUGUAGAAGAGGCAGUCAAUUCAUGUAGAGUACUUCAUACACAGCCUGGCACCCGAGGAAGUGCAGUCCCGCUGUCAUUGCCACAAAGAGCCGGAAAGAGUGCCCUGGGACUUACAGGUGGACCGGGGAGAAAGGAAACGGCCUGGAGUAGCGCUGCUCACCUGCUCAUUUGCAGAAGCCGUGAGAUUGGGCCCACUGUCCUGUCCCAAAGGAGAUGCCUGCCAAAAGGAAGUAGAAGGCUCAAGUCAAGAGAAGACACAGGACUGAUUCAAGGCUGUGGGGCACACUCAGGCUGCAAGGCACCUCUAGAGGAAGGAGCUUCCCCAGGUGUCAGACCUCAGAGGUGUCGUCUGAUUUCGUCACAGAUGUGAAUGCAAAGUUGACACCUUCCAAGCUGACUUCUCACCCUCUGCAACAUCUCCAUCACGUUUCUUAAGGGGCAUUGUUGAGAACCUUUGGACUUUUGAAGUCUUUUACCAAGAUAGUUUUUUAUAAAAAA
This 512-nucleotide long non-coding RNA is filed under the name Felis catus (domestic cat). RNAcentral's name for it is "lncRNA (ENSFCAG00000050122.1)". The record is from RNAcentral. Lineage: Eukaryota; Metazoa; Chordata; Mammalia; Carnivora; Felidae.